This 413-nucleotide ribosomal RNA is filed under the name Oribacterium sinus. RNAcentral describes it as "bacterial SSU rRNA". It matches the Rfam family "Bacterial small subunit ribosomal RNA", at positions 67 to 495 of the family's 1533-position model. Lineage: Bacteria; Bacillati; Bacillota; Clostridia; Lachnospirales; Lachnospiraceae. The record is from RNAcentral.
UUGGAAAGCUUCGGCCGGAAGAUGCGUUAUCUAGUGGCGGACGGGUGAGUAACACGUGGGUAACCUGCCUUAUGGAGGGGGAUAACAGAGAGAAAUCACUGCUAAUACCGCAUAAGCACACAGUACCGCAUGGUACAGGGUGAAAAGAUUUAUCGCCAUAAGAUGGACCCGCGUCUGAUUAGCCAGUUGGCAGGGUAAAAGCCUACCAAAGCAACGAUCAGUAGCCGAUCUGAGAGGAUGACCGGCCACAUUGGGACUGAGACACGGCCCAAACUCCUACGGGAGGCAGCAGUGGGGAAUAUUGCACAAUGGGGGAAACCCUGAUGCAGCGACGCCGCGUGAGUGAAGAAGUAUUUCGGUAUGUAAAGCUCUAUCAGCAGGGAAGAUAAUGACAUACCUGACUAAGAGCCCCG